CCUACGGGAGGCAGCAGUGGGGGAUAUUGCACAAUGGGGGAAACCCUGAUGCAGCGACGCCGCGUGGGCGAAGAAGUAUUUCGGUAUGUAAAGCCCUAUCAGCAGGGAAGAAGAAAUGACGGUACCUGAGUAAGACACACCGGCUAAAUAUGUGCCAGCAGCCGCGGUAAUACGUAUGGUGCAAGCGUUAUCCGGAGUUACUGGGGGUAAAGGGAGCGAAGACGGCAGUGCAAGUCUGGAGUUAAAGGCGGGGGCUCAACCCCCGGACUGCUCUGGAAACUGUACGGCUGGAGUGCAGGAGAGGUAAGUGGAAUUCCUAGUGUAGCGGUGAAAUGCGUAGAUAUUAGGAGGAACACCAGUGGCGAAGGCGGCUUACUGGACUGUAACUGACGUUGAGGCUCGAAAGCGUGGGGAGCAAACAGGAUUAGAUACCCCAGUAGUC
This 442-nucleotide ribosomal RNA is filed under the name uncultured bacterium. RNAcentral's name for it is "partial 16S ribosomal RNA". It matches the Rfam family "Bacterial small subunit ribosomal RNA", at positions 338 to 795 of the family's 1533-position model. The record is from RNAcentral.